Molecule: long non-coding RNA, 234 nt
Filed under: Capsicum annuum
Lineage: Eukaryota; Viridiplantae; Streptophyta; Magnoliopsida; Solanales; Solanaceae
Description: long non-coding RNA (CANN_LNC002811)
Source: RNAcentral
CAAAUUCAAACCAACCUAUAGGUGACCUGUACCUAUGCUUGUACAGUGCUUAAAACAGAGCCAUCUAAAUACUAGCGUGAUAACUGUUAUUAUAGGAAAAUUCAAUCAAAGUUAAUUAAUUAUCUCAUGUUCCCUUAAAGUCUAUCACAUAUGCUCUUAACAUAUCUUCUAACAUCUGAAUUAUGUGCUUAGCCUGACCAUUUCUCUACGGAUAAAAAAUUAUACUAAGCUUCA